This 439-nucleotide ribosomal RNA is filed under the name uncultured bacterium. RNAcentral's name for it is "partial 16S ribosomal RNA". It matches the Rfam family "Bacterial small subunit ribosomal RNA", at positions 339 to 795 of the family's 1533-position model. The record is from RNAcentral.
CUACGGGAGGCAGCAGUGGGGAAUAUUGGACAAUGGGCGAAAGCCUGAUCCAGCAAUGCCGCGUGUGUGAAGAAGGCCUGCGGGUUGUAAAGCACUUUCAGUUGGGAAGAUGAUGACGUUACCAACAGAAGAAGCACCGGCUAAAUCCGUGCCAGCAGCCGCGGUAUUACGGAGGGUGCGAGCGUUAAUCGGAAUUACUGGGCGUAAAGCGCGCGUAGGCGGCUAAGUCAGUCAGAAGUGAAAGCCCCGGGCUCAACCUGGGAAUUGCUUUGGAUACUGCUUAGCUAGAGUUUGGUAGAGGAUAGUGGAAUUCCAGGUGUAGCGGUGAAAUGCGUAGAUAUCUGGAGGAACAUCAGUGGCGAAGGCGACUGUCUGGACCAAAACUGACGCUGAGGUGCGAAAGCGUGGGUAGCAAACAGGAUUAGAUACCCGAGUAGUC